GAUGAACGCUGGCGGCGUGCUUAACACAUGCAAGUCGAACGGUGAAAGAGAGCUUGCUCUCUGGAUCAGUGGCGAACGGGUGAGUAACACGUGAGCAAUCUGCCCCUGACUCUGGGAUAAGCGCUGGAAACGGCGUCUAAUACCGGAUACGAGCUGCGAAGGCAUCUUCAGCAGCUGGAAAGAACUUCGGUCAGGGAUGAGCUCGCGGCCUAUCAGCUAGUUGGCGAGGUAACGGCUCACCAAGGCGUCGACGGGUAGCCGGCCUGAGAGGGCGACCGGCCACACUGGGACUGAGACACGGCCCAGACUCCUACGGGAGGCAGCAGUGGGGAAUAUUGCACAAUGGGCGAAAGCCUGAUGCAGCAACGCCGCGUGAGGGACGACGGCCUUCGGGUUGUAAACCUCUUUUAGCAGGGAAGAAGCGAAAGUGACGGUACCUGCAGAAAAAGCACCGGCUAACUACGUG
This 466-nucleotide ribosomal RNA is filed under the name uncultured bacterium. RNAcentral describes it as "partial 16S ribosomal RNA". It matches the Rfam family "Bacterial small subunit ribosomal RNA", at positions 28 to 507 of the family's 1533-position model. The record is from RNAcentral.